CCCUAUGGGGUGCCAAAGAAAAAGCGGCGUAUGAAAGCACGGUUUAAGCCAACCGCUUCAAAAAUUUGAGCCCCACAAUAGGAUUGGUAGGUGGAGAUGUCCAUUUUGGACAUGAUUUUAAGGAUGCCUUUAUCAAUGGAUUUGAUGUAGCGUUUUACAAUUUCAUCGCUCUCUAGGAUUUCAGGCAUAGACUUGGCUAUUUCAGCCAGUGUUUCAAGAGCUAAAUAGGGAUUGAUAGCUUCGGCGCCAUAGCCUGCAAGGGCACAAAAGUGAUGUACUUCGCGCGCUUCACCAGUUUCGAUGACAAGAUCAACGGAAGUACGCAACCCUUUACGUAUGAGAUGAUUGUGCACGGCAGCUGUAGCCAAUAGUGCAGGAAUGGGCGGGAGGGC
Molecule: ribosomal RNA, 392 nt
Filed under: uncultured prokaryote
Description: partial 16S ribosomal RNA
Source: RNAcentral